AGAGCGAACGCUGGCGGCAGGCCUAACACAUGCAAGUCGAGCGCCCGUAGCAAUACGGGAGCGGCAGACGGGAUAGUAACACGUGGGAACGCGCCCUUCGGUUCGGAAUAACUCAGGGAAACUUGAGCUAAUACCGAAUACGCCCUUACGGGGAAAGAUUUAUUGCCGAAGGAACGGCCCGCGUCCGAUUAGCUAGUUGGUGAGGUAAUGGCUCACCAAGGCUACGAUCGGUAGCUGGGU
RNAcentral lists this ribosomal RNA (240 nucleotides) under uncultured bacterium. RNAcentral describes it as "partial small subunit ribosomal RNA". It matches the Rfam family "Bacterial small subunit ribosomal RNA", at positions 26 to 292 of the family's 1533-position model. The record is from RNAcentral.